UCUUCGUUUCGACGAGGUAGAAUGGGCUUAAAUAAUAACAAAGAGACGAAUUUUGGUCCCUAAGAGACCUCAUGAUGCAGAUGUAUGUAUGUAACUGGUAACACUCUGCGGGGAUAUGCAUCCACAAAGGCAAAGAUCAGGAGGAAAUUGACAAUCCCUAUGAAUAAUUCAUUCCAUGGGGCAGAGACUCUACCGGGGAGUAAAGGGAUGAAAA
Molecule: long non-coding RNA, 214 nt
Filed under: Lathyrus oleraceus (garden pea)
Lineage: Eukaryota; Viridiplantae; Streptophyta; Magnoliopsida; Fabales; Fabaceae
Description: Pisum sativum (pea) long non-coding RNA (PSAT_LNC025783)
Source: RNAcentral